This 1001-nucleotide ribosomal RNA is filed under the name uncultured bacterium. RNAcentral's name for it is "bacterial SSU rRNA". It matches the Rfam family "Bacterial small subunit ribosomal RNA", at positions 356 to 1376 of the family's 1533-position model. The record is from RNAcentral.
GGGGAAUAUUGCACAAUGGGGGGAACCCUGAUGCAGCGACGCCGCGUGAAGGAAGAAGGUAUUCGUAUUGUAAACUUCUGUCGCAGAUGACGAAGAUAGUGACGGUAAUCUGCAAGAAAGCACCGGCUAACUACGUGCCAGCAGCCGCGGUAAAACGUAGGGUGCUAGCGUUGUCCGGAAUUACUGGGUGUAAAGGGAGCGCAGGUGGCAGUGCAAGUUGGAUGUAAAAUCUACGGGCUCAACCCGUAUAAGCAUUCAAAACUGUGCAGCUUGAGUGAAGUAGAGGUAGGUGGAAUUUCCGGUGUAGCGGUGGAAUGCGUAGAUAUCGGAAGGAACAUCAGUGGCGAAGGCGACCUACUGGGCUUUAACUGACGCUGAGGCUCGAAAGCAUGGGUAGCAAACAGGAUUAGAUACCCUGGUAGUCCAUGCUGUAAACGAUGAUUACUAGGUGUGGGGGCGAAAGCUUCCGUGCCGGAGUUAACACAAUAAGUAAUCCACCUGGGGAGUACGACCGCAAGGUUGAAACUCAAAGGAAUUGACGGGGGCCCGCACAAGCAGUGGAGUAUGUGGUUUAAUUCGAAGCAACGCGAAGAACCUUACCAGGUCUUGACAUCGUGCGCAUAGGCAAGAGAUUGCUGAAGUUAUUCUUUUAGAAUAACGCAUAGACAGGUGGUGCAUGGUUGUCGUCAGCUCGUGUCGUGAGAUGUUGGGUUAAGUCCCGCAACGAGCGCAACCCUUAUCAUUAGUUACUACGAAAGAGGACUCUAAUGAGACUGCCGUUGAGAAAACGGAGGAAGGUGGGGAUGACGUCAAAUCAUCAUGCCCCUUAUGACCUGGGCUACACACGUACUACAAUGGCUGUCAACAAAGUGAACCAAAUACGCGAGUAAGAGGGAAACACAAAAAACAGUCACAGUUCGGAUUGUAGGCUGCAACUCGCCUACAUGAAGCCGGAAUUGCUAGUAAUCGCGGAUCAGCAUGCCGCGGUGAAUACGUUCCCG